RNAcentral lists this ribosomal RNA (253 nucleotides) under uncultured bacterium. Its description in RNAcentral is "partial 16S ribosomal RNA". It matches the Rfam family "Archaeal small subunit ribosomal RNA", at positions 474 to 727 of the family's 1478-position model. The record is from RNAcentral.
UACCAGCACCCCGAGUGGUCGGGACGUUUAUUGGGCCUAAAGCAUCCGUAGCCGGUUCUACAAGUCUUCCGUUAAAUCCACCUGCUUAACAGAUGGGCUGCGGAAGAUACUAUAGAGCUAGGAGGCGGGAGAGGCAAGCGGUACUCGAUGGGUAGGGGUAAAAUCCGUUGAUCCAUUGAAGACCACCAGUGGCGAAGGCGGCUUGCCAGAACGCGCUCGACGGUGAGGGAUGAAAGCGUGGGGAGCAAACAGG